Non-coding RNA from Salvelinus fontinalis (brook trout), 734 nucleotides. NCBI's taxonomy places the organism in Eukaryota, Metazoa, Chordata, Actinopteri, Salmoniformes, Salmonidae. The record is from the annotation of a RefSeq genome assembly.
CCCCUCCUCAUCCCUCCCCUCCUUCUCUCCUCCCCUCCCACAUGACCUGCCUCCCUGACGUAUAGAGCUCCUAUAUAAGGCUGCUAUGUGCUAGGCAGUACAUGAUGCCAAUUUGAUGUACAUUAAACUGUAGUGGAAAUACAUGACAUCCUUGUCAUUUUCUAUUGGCAAAUAUUUGGGGAAUUAUCAUUGAGUUCCUACCUCAGCCUUUUCAUUUGUCUUAGUGUCUGCUGCACUAAAAAAAAAGUCACCAUGUUCAAAGUAUUCACCACGGUCAUCGUUUCUCUCUCCUUCCUCUCAGAGGAGGUGGUGUUCUCCUCCUCUCUCCUCGUCCGCCAGACUCCUCAACACCUCCUGAGGAGGACACCUGAACACAGAGAGGCACACCUGGACUGUCACCAUGGCGACAACAACUACCCGUACAUGUUGUGGUACCAACAGAGGGACAAGGGAGGACAGAAGACGAUGGAUCUCAUUGGAACACUGCACUAUAUAAACCCAACUCUUGAGAAGAACUAUGAAACACGGUUCAACUUAACAGGUCAUUCCAAGGCCAAAGCCACCCUGGUUAUCUCUGAGAUAAACCCGACAGACAGUGCAGUGUAUUACUGUGCAGCCAGUCAGCACAGUGCUGCAAAUUCAUUCCCUCACUAACCAAAAACUACUGGUGCUGGUCGUAUCAACAUGACACACCUGCACAACGUUAACUCUAACUGUCUGGUGAACAAUGAACA